RNAcentral lists this ribosomal RNA (378 nucleotides) under bacterium enrichment culture DGGE band 60_3_FGQ_Ac. RNAcentral describes it as "bacterial SSU rRNA". It matches the Rfam family "Archaeal small subunit ribosomal RNA", at positions 459 to 839 of the family's 1478-position model. The record is from RNAcentral.
CAGCCGCCGCGGUAAUACCAACCCCGCGAGUGGUCGGGACGAUUAUUGGGCCUAAAGCGCCCGUAGCCGGCUCGACAAGUUUCCUCCUAAAUCCUCGGGCUCAACCCGAGGAUUGGAGGAGAUACUGUCGAGCUAGGGGGUGGGAGAGGCCGAGGGUACUCCCGGGGUAGGGGCGAAAUCCUAUAAUCCCGGGAGGACCACCAGUGGCGAAGGCGCUCGGCUGGAACACGCCCGACGGUGAGGGGCGAAAGCCGGGGGAGCGAACCGGAUUAGAUACCCGGGUAGUCCCGGCUGUAAACGAUGCUGGCUAGGUGUUGGGUGGGCCUAGAGCCCACCCAGUGCCGCAGCGAAGCCGUUAAGCCCGCCGCCUGGAGUACG